This is a long non-coding RNA of Centrocercus urophasianus (Greater sage-grouse), 9812 nucleotides long. RefSeq lists it as uncharacterized. NCBI's taxonomy places the organism in Eukaryota, Metazoa, Chordata, Aves, Galliformes, Phasianidae. The record is from RefSeq and is a predicted model, not a curated record. The transcript is spliced from 3 exons.
AGCGUGACGCCGGGCGGAGGAGAGCGGUGGCUGCUGGGAAAUGUAGCCCCCACCCCCGGCGACUACAGCUCCCGGCUGCGCGCGCUCCUCGGAUUGUCGUCUCCCGCUCUUUUCCUCCGUCCCGCAGGCGAGCGCUGUUCGGCAGCCGCUCGGUAGCGUGUGCCCGUGGUGGAGCGGCCUCAUUGAUCACACGCCCCCAUUUCACCCACCGCGGUCGCGAGGCUGGGGCCGUCCCACCUGAGGUCAUCUUGUCAGAUUCGGCGUUCUGCAGGUGUUAAGGACUUGCACGAGCGCCGAUGGAGCCGCUUGGUGUGAAGGGCCACUGGGAAAGCAUCGUUAUCCUGUCUUUGUAUAGGGCUAGAAUGGCUGAAAAUAUUUCCUGACAAACUGCUGAAGAAUCAGUAUCUAGACGGCAAUACUCCCUCCUCCCACCUGCAAAUAAAGUUAAUUUAAACGAAUAGCUGAAAGGAUAAAUCACAAUCAGAUAAAUGCAAUUAGCACAAAGGCACAAGCCUAUUUAUCUGCAGUAUUUAUUCAGAGAAUUCGCUUAUGCUCCUGGGGACAUUUUAGCUGAGUAACGUGGGUCGGAAGGGGCCGUAGUUGCCUGAGGUCAUUCCUUUUUAAUACAGUUUGUAAAAUGGCAGCAAAACAUGAUGCCAGAGACUCAUCAGAAGUGCUGUGCUCCGCAGUAAAGUGGGGGUUGUGGUGCAGCACUCAGUGUACUACAGCCCGAUUCUGUGUGCUCCCCACAUUCAAUUGUAAUGAUUCCUACAGAUUCAGAGCACCCUCAUGCCACCUGUUUCACAAAGGUUAUCCCAGGUCUCCUAAUUUAAGAGCACGAGAAAAACACUUCAUGUGCAAAGGCACACACCAACACACUCAGCAGAAGAAGACAGCAGGCUCUGGAGAUGUUCUUGUUAGCAGUACCACUUGAAAUAAAAGGCAGUUUGUGGAAAACAGUCUGUUAUCCUUGAAGGCAGUCCUUGGAGUGAAGCAGAGAGAGAAAGAAGCUGUGCUUUUCUCUAAUUGUUCAAUUAUCUGACUGUUCACGCUCACAAAAAAGAUCUAAAACACAGAGAUCUUCAAAUACGUCUUAGGAAUGCAGAACUGGAAGGGAGGUUUCCUGGGACAUCAGGUGUGCCCUUGUCCCCUAGGAUCCCAGGUGUCCAUACCUAACUGAAUGUCCUCCCAAAGCGGACCAGGUGGGUCUGCCCACGUUACUGCUCUGGUAAUCAGGAGCUUUCUUCCACUUUUCGAUCUGAAUUUACACAUGGGUGGUCUGUGCCCAUGUGUUCCCAUUGCCCUUUGACUCCAAUAGCUUUUUUUUUUUUUCUUCUCAGUGUCUCCCCACAAUGUACUUACAGGCAGCUUUUGUAUCCCUGACCAGUCUUUGCAUUCUCUUUCCUAGACUAAACAAGCUCCUUUUGCCUCCCAUGGCAAGAUAAACUACACAGUGCAAGAACACUGGUGGUGGGCACCCCGUCCCUGGAGACAUUCAAGGAAUUGUGAAUUUUGCUGCAGAUUGACUACUGCUAUGAGAUGUGGAGAAUGGAGCUUAUGAAAUUGAUUUUUGUCAGAAGGAAGUGGAAGGGUGAAACGCACAUCUUCCUUUUCUAAAGUUUGAUUGAUGAUGGCUAUUUUGAAGAACGGUAAAAUGAAACAGGAUGGUUUGCAAUCUGCAGUUUUCCAGCUGGAGUCUGGCAACCUUGAUGAAGAGUUUUCUGAUUAUAGGAGUUCUAUAGAAAAUAAGGGAAUAAAAAGUAAUCUAUCACAGAUUACUCUGAUAACAUACCAAAAGUCUUUAUAUCAAGUGGACAAAUUGUACAUACCCGCAGACAACGUCAAGAAACACCAGAAGGCCUUGAAAGCCCACAAUGACCUCUGUGUAAUAUACCCAGUUAUCAGAGGCAGACAACAUACAGCCUUCAUAGAAUCAGUUUUGCCAUAAACUAUACUCAAAGAGAAUUGUUGAAUUACAUCAAAUAUGCAACAAUCACCCAAUUUGCUUUUUUUUGUUGUUUUUUUUUUUGUUGUUGUUGUUUUUGUUGUUAUUGUUUUUAAAUAAAGCCUUUCAAGAAAACAUGCCUUCAUUAAACAGGAAUUACUGAAUCCCUACUCCUCAACUGCAGAAAACUUGGCUGACGAGUCAGUUCUGGAUGAAAAGCUGAUGAGCACCGAGAAAUGCUAAUGUGGGAAAAAUUCUAUUCAUUUUUCCUCUGCUAUAAGUCAUCAUCAAUGGCGCUGUUGAACGUUCAUCUGUGAUUUAAGAAGGUAUAAAUCACCUAAGUGAUUCCAGUUAGCGCGUGAAGGUGGGGAGGGAGUUUAGAAAGAAGGAAUUUCAUGUUCUUUAACACUGUAAAAUGCUAGGGGGCUUAUUCAGCUCUCUUCAGUAGCCUGUUUUUCUAGUCUGGGAGAUUUUCCCUUCACUCGUGAAAGCAAGAGACCGAUUUCAAUGUCAAAAUACUUAAGGAAAAGACAAAACAUUUGCCACUGUAAAAAUAAUUCAAAGAGCAAGAGAAAGAUGAGCAAAGGGACCAUUUCGAAUUGAACAAUUUAAUAAUAUCCUCCUUUGUAAAGGGAAAUUGAAUGUCUUCAUACAGAAGCUCUUCUGACAAUAAUACCUAAUUUUAUCAGUAGUGAUGAUUUCCAGUCUUUAAAAUGCUAGGUACGCACCUGUAUGCCUCAUCAAUCGGUGGGGCUGUCACAACUGUGGGAGCAAAUUGGGUAUGCACAUAACAAGGAACAGAAAAUUUACACUGCUGUUCCAGCUGUGAGCUUAAACACAACACCGUGUAUGCUCUGGGCUGCUUGUGCUCAUCCAGCAGUGUAAGGUCUUCAGCGUAGUAAGGCAUUUAAGAUGGUGCUUAUUCAACAAAACUCUUAAUUAUAAAUGUGCUUUUAGAUUGAGCAUACGAUUAAGAAGCAUUCUUGAAUAGAGAAGUUUCCAUUAAUUGAUGCCUGAAAUAGAAUCAUAGAAACACAGGGUUGGAAACGACCUAUAAGAUCAUCUAGUCCAACUGUCUCCUCAUCACCAUUGCCACCACUAGCACUGAAAGUAGAGUUAGCCUUUAAAUUAUCUAACAGGUUGCACUUGUGUUUAUAUAUUCAGGAAUGGCAGAGUUGCACUGCCUGGAGGCUUGUUUGUACUUACAUCCCCCUAAAUAAUUUUCAGCAAGGCUUGAUCUGUGUUUCUAAUUCCAAAACCACUUCCACUCAAGUUAUAUCAACACCACUAAAUGUUAUUCAGCUCUGCACCUCAAAGCACUAUGCAAAAAUAUAGUUAUUUCCAUGUUACAGGGAGAGGAGAAAAGAGCCGAGUGCCUUCCUGGCUGCACGUUAAGCUCUCUAGAAGGAAAUGGGCAGAGUUCAGGUCCCCACAUCCUUCAAGCAGGACAUGAGGCUAUGAAGCACCCUUCUGGCUGAAGGAACAUCUUGCCUCUGCUUCUCCUGGGCUGGAGCUGGGUGCAGCACUCUUGUUGCGACGGUCAGUUGGCACACAGCAUUAUCUGCCAGCUGUAUGUGGCUCUCCCAUCCUCAAGGAGGAAGGUCUUUACUCUUGCAGUUCCACUGCUUGCCACUGAGAUUUCAGCUUCUGGCAGAGCUGAGCUGUACUGCACUCAACACGGUACGGAUUUCCUAUGCAGUCACCAGCAGUGUGGUGCAGAGAUCCUUUGGUUGCACAAAUGCUUUCUGUUGCGAUGCAUGCAGGUUGCAGUAUGCCAGCAUUGCAGUUAAACAGUUUGGAAGUGCAGUAUCAUUACCAAACUGUGGAAUUUCUUCUCCAGCACAAACUUCUUGUCUUCAUCGUGUGUGAAGAAAACAAUUUACAGAAAUAAAUACCUGCUUCCCCAUUGCUGAAAACCACACAUCAAGGAAACAAAUUCAAGAAGAAACACCGUCUUUGUUGCCAGGAUUGAUUACAGGGUGGUGUUAACUGUUCCAGUGUCAAAUCCUGUAUUAAAAUUAUAACAUUGUUUUACAGAUUUUGUUUUUCAUUUGUGUUGAUAUGAAUUGCAAAGCUAGACCUUCUAAUUCCCUGUGGAUUCAGCAACCUCUAUACACUAAUCCUCUUACUGCAUCUUUGGCUCUUCCAUCCUCUGCUACGUAUUUUUCUGUUUUUUUAAAAGGAAGAGAGCUUCAUUUUCAGUUAGAUGCUAAUGCACUGAAAGAUUCUCUUCCAGAACUGUAGUAAUCCUUCCAUGUAAUUAUUUCAUUUUAUCUUUCAGGCUCGUAUGGCUUCUUAAACCCAUUUUGUUUCAGAGCCUUACAACUCCUGGAGGUACAGUAUUCAUCACUACUGAUAGAGAUGGAUUAUGGUGGAUUCAUUAAGCUGUAAUCAACGCAGAGACUUGGAUGCAAUGUUUUUACAUACUAUAUAACCCUAACCAGCACGGCUGGCAUAUUUUGAAAUGACCCAGGAGAUCCAAACAUUUUUAGUAUCAGUUUUUCGUGAGGUUUGUCAUCUCCCUCUGAUUCACUUGGAAGCAUCUCAGCCAAGUGAUGGCACUGCCUGUUGAAGGGCCGUACAUGAAGGCCUUUCACUAAAGCUGAGAGUAUUUUUCUUCCAUACCACACAUUUGGCAACAAGGCUGGCUGAGAAAGUGCAUUCUGCUUCUCCCUUAUAUACGUCACUUCUGUAUGCUAUGCUGCCCUGUGACUCUGAGGCUGCCCUGGCAACCGGGAGAUGGAAAUGCUCUUCAUUAACAGGAAUUAUGCCUUAAGAAUGUCAGGUAUUGCUUCAAGGCAGUAAGAGUCUAUCUCAUAAAUGCGUUGUUUACUUGUGAAUGAAUAUGAUGUGAGAACAGCGCCGUGGAAGAUAAAGUUUCAAAAUAUGUUACUGAUAAUUUAUAUCAGUGCAGAGUCAGUGCUAUCAAUGGCUGCAGCUACAGUAAUUUACAAGAAGUAUGAGCACAGAUGAACAUUAUGCACUUUGAGGGAAUUGUUUAACUUUAUUUCUUGAACUUGAAAAGUGUGUCUUGUUAAAAGUGAACAUAGAAAUCCUCCAAGGAGCUUAAUAAAAUAAAGCCAUAUUGUCAGGAUCAACCUAGAAGGUAGUACUAAAGCAGCCAUCUCAGCAGUGGAAGUGUAGUUGUAGGGCCGUGCAUGAAAUUAAGAAUGCUUUUAGCAAUACAGUAGGACAACAUGAAUGAACCCAGUAUUGAAGAAUGAGCCUAAACAAAAUAUUCCGAACAGUGAGGCCAACCUGCGGCCUAGAGGUGAUAGGGCUCCCCAGGCAAUGACCAGGUUGUGGUGAGGCCCUGCCUCACGCCCUCUGUAAGUCUUUGCGGAUGCUGACGUGGUGCAGGUGGGGAGCAGCUACCAUUUCAGCAUGCAGAUUUCAGUGAGGUAAAGAACCAUUCUGCACCGUAAGCUUUGCAGAUGUUGGCCAGGGCACAGCAAAUCGUGGUCACAGGUAUUUAUUUGACAUCCAAACUGUUUCAGCAGCACUGUUCUGCUUUCAGCUUCCCAAAGGUGCCCUGUGUUGUUCUGUGAAUGCCACAAACAGAGCUGAAUACUCUGUGCGACUUCACCAGCUCUGGCAGGAGUGAAGAUAACCAGGUUCCCCAAAGGAGCACAAAUUCUCCUUGCUGCAGCAGAAUAGUCUCAUCUUUUCCAGGUGCAUAAUGCCCAGCUACCAUCACCGGUCCAUGCUCUCCAUAGUACCAAGCACCCAUGACCUACCUAUUGCACAGAUCGAGAUGCAUUUUGUGGAUAAAAUUUUCCUUGGCCUCUUGUGCUGACAGGUGAUGAACUUGUGAAAACCUUUGUACAGCUGAGGUCUGUGGCACUUUGAAAGUCAGCUAGAUUUUUAGGAACUCUACAUCUGCCAACAGACAGGGGUAAGCCACCUUCAUAACAGGAUCGCUUCAGCUUCCGCCUGCCUGGUGCAUUUCUUUGGCACACCAGGCAGCUCCAUCCUGCAUCAACAGCAGGCCUGGAAUUCAUGCUGUGCAAACGUAACCUUUCAAGCAUGAAUUUCUGACAAAGGUGGUUGCCCAGAGCAAAUGGUGAAGGCUUUUCUUGCAGAGAUGAAAAGGUGGAGAGAGGGAACCAGCUUGGCAGCUGGGGCAGUAAGCAAUCAGCAUUGUGUUUUGUUUUGUUUUAAAAGUGUUUGAAGUUUUUCCUGUGCAGCUGACUUGUGUUGCAGCAGAGAAGACCUCACCAUGGAGCGUUUCUCCCCAUCAUCUGCAGACGGGCUGCUGGCAGCACUCCCAUCCACAAUGAUCUAGCACAGCUGGCCUGCCAGGAUUUCUGUCUGAUAGCUGAAUAUUUUGUGUCAUGCCGUUCUUGGCUGCCCUUUUAUACUUUCUCCAUGUUACAAGAACCUCCAGCAGAUUCUCGGGUGAUGGGCAGGAAACCAUUUACCACGUCCUUCCUCCAAGCUAUGGCAUUGCUUUCAAAAAGCAUUAUCUAAUUGCUAGAAUCUGAGGAUUUGUCUUUGCUUGCUUUAGCCAGAGCUCUGGUGCCUCGAUGCCAUCAGGCGUGGCUCCUCUCCAUCACAUACCCUGAGAAGAAAGCUAUUGCAUCAUUGCAUGCACUGCCUCUUGCUGGCUGCAGUUCUCCAUUCUCCAGCACAUGCAGAAAGUAGUGGCUCAGAGGCUGUGCUGACUCUCCCUCCAUCCUUAGUGCCACGGAACAAUUUUUGAAGGAAGUGAUCAUGCUGAGCCAGUGUGGCUGUGGAGUAAUGGAGGCCACACAGUCAUGAUUUUGCUGGAGAUGAAGGAAGCCACGUUGUUUGGAAAGCCUCCACAUGAAGCUUGGAGCAAACGCACUCACUGCAGAGGAGAGGUGUGCCUCUCCCAGGGAGUAACAGGAGCUGAGGAAUGGAAAUCAUUUGUGACAUUUCCAAUCUACGUCCUCUCAGGAGCAUAAAGGUGACUGCAGAGGAUGAAACCACUGGUCUUGCCAACAGUGUCCUGCUGAAGGAGGCUGUCACUGCAGCACGCCAAGGGGACAUGCAAGCAGCACGGUGGCAGGCAGUGUGGGACAAGCAUCUCUAGAAACCUUUCCCAAAACUGCCGCAAUGGGAGGCUGGCUGCUCCCCAGAAGCCCAAGAGUGUAAAUCCUUUCCAGAGCCCCUGUUUAUUUUUAUGUAUGUAUUACUAGCCCUCCAGCCCUCUUUCAAAUCCUGCUAAGCUUUUGGUUGUGAUGACACUCAAGAGGAAUGGAUUCCACAGAGUAAUUGCAUGCCACGCAAAAAUUUAUUUCCUUUUUAUCAGUUUUAAAAGCUUCCCUUUUCAAUGUAAUUGAAUGUUCCCUUGUGUUUAUACUGUGAAAGCGAAACCAGCAGCGUAUGUUUAUGAGGGCAUUUGCUGGACAGAGGCUGAGCCUGGCUUCCCACAGCUCCAAGCCAGGGAAAAUCAUGCAGAGAAGAAUAAGCAAAUCAAUGGUUCUUUUAAUCAAACUCAACAGUAAUUUGCAAGAAGAGGAAAAUCUUAUUCUUGAGCAUUUUCAUGGGGAAAUUAGUCCUUAUAACAGACAAAAGAUUUUUGCUUUUUUUUUUUUCUUUCCUAUUUGCCAUCCAGGAAUGAUUUCAUAUGUUUUCACCCUCACCCUGUCCUUUUGUUCCAGCUGCAAAAUGUACACACGAACACCUCUUACUAAAGAGGCUAAUUAAGCACAUGAUCCCUUUUCCCUUCUCAUAAAAGCUGCUGGAGAGCAACCCAAGCAACGUCCUUAAUACAGCUGUGCUCGGAAAGCUCCUUCCUUGGCAAGGGAAGGGUACUUGUGAUGGCAAGACAAGUCUGUUCCCACAUUUCCUGAUGUGCUGGGUCACAUCACACAUUCAAGCACUGCUUUAACAGGGAAUAGAAACAUGGGCAGAAGUGGGUUUUUUUGGUGUCACUACAUUUCAGCAGAUGUUACAGGCUCAAUUAUCCCGGCACUUCAGCUGUAACAUUGCAUUUUCUCUAAGCUCCAUUUAUUUGGCUGAAACCCUUUCGUUGGAAGACACUGCCUUCUGUAGCUGGAGCUUCAGCACGGUAGAGCUUGACAGCUACCUUUGGUAAGCAAAUUUAUCUUUUGGGAUUGACUCCACAUCCCAGCUACAAAUCACGUCUGACAUACAGCUGAACAAAACAAGUUUCUUAACGUGGAGUAUAAUACACCUGCCCAUUCUAGACUAUCCAAUGCUUUGAUGUGGGCUCAUUAGUCACAAAGAAUAAGUCAGCGUUCAGAUAAACUACACUUCUGCAAGGCAGGAAAAGUCUACGUUCAGCAUCCUCACGGGAAAAGUGAGCAUCUCUGCGUGUCGGGAAACAACGUGACACAUCCCACAGCUCCUGAGUCACAGCUGGGAAAUGCAGCACAGCAGUUAUUCCAUUCUGAGGUCGACUGUGAUGAGCUGUGUUGGAGUGGUGGGCAGUUUUAAGAAAUGGGGAUCACUUCUUUCAUUUUGACUUCCUGCCUUUGCCGACUCUAUAAGCAUACCGUGGUCACCUUUCUUUCCUGCCUUGCUUUGUGAAAGAGAACUGGGCAUUUGUAAUAUGUAUAACAUAAACAUUUUAAACACUUUCUGAGGAGCACAGGUAAUACAGUGUAAAUGAAGUUGAAAAUAACUGGGAAUGAUGAGCCAGAAAAAUAAUACAGGAAUCAGCCAAAUGCUAAGCGAGCACGGUAAAGCAAAUGCUUCAAGAGAAUCAUUUUCUUUUGAAAUCUGCCUAAACAUAGAAUACAUCUCUCUCCUGUCCCCUGCUUUAUGAGCACACGCACAUGUUGAUUGGUAAGAAAGCAAGAGCUGCCCCUGUACCGCAUUGUGAUCUAUAGCAAGAUGUGGCAGCUUUCCUCUAUUCCUUACCAGAAAUUCAGUAGAACGACAAGGAGAGGGGACACAUUAAAGUUUUAUUACUUCAGUGGCAGUAUUCUCCAGAGAAAACAAUAAUAAAUUCCCCACACUGUGACUGUCUAAAUAGAUUAUCCAACAAUUAUUAUUAAUUAUUAAUCAUCCACUGACUCAGAAGCCACCCCGUGGCUGCCUACUGCAAGAAUCCUACAGCUUUUGCAACCUAAUGAUAUGAUUUUCCAAAUUACAAUGUUGCAGUGCUAAACCAUAUGAAAGGUUAAUGGGAGAGGGAGUGAUGAAGUGAUACAAAUGUCUAAAAUUGUACCUUGACUUGCCGGCAGUAGGUUGUGAAAAAGCAACCCAAGCAAAUUCAGCAGAAAACUAGUUAACUUAAGGAUUAUUACAAGAUCUGAAGUGGGAGUUGAAGGCAUAUUAAAGGGUCUGUGGAUUUGUGAAAAUACCUUAAAAUAGUCCAGGAGGCAAAAAAAUCUUGUUCUCUUCUGUUACCGAAGAGCACCUUUUCCAACCCAGCAUACAAGUGGCAAGGCUGAGUGCUGUAAUUCACAUCACCUAUGCGCAUCCUUGGCUGUCCAUGUUUACCACAAGAUUGAUUUCUCAUUCUUAAGCACAUUUGUAACGUCUGUGCAAAUGAAUGUAGGACACAUCCCAACAAGAUCAAUAUUUAUGCAGCCUACUUUGGAAAGAACAAGAGAGUUGCUUCAGCGCAGCAGGGGACCUACUCAUUGGCUUUCCUGCAGUUUCCUCUUUUCCUCCUUUUCCACACAGUUUUCCUGCUGAGCGCUCACUGCUGAUUAAAAGUAGUGCUAAUGAAAAAAGUAGUGAAGGCUGCCUGGAGCAGUGGGACCCCAUAGGGACACACAGCCAAAUGCAGCGCCCAUAGCUCCUGUCCGCUGCUUCCUCCAGCCCCAUCCAUCUGCUUCCCUGUGGCUCACGGCUGCUCACACUUCAUGCCACUUGCAAAAGAGCAGCAAUCAAUUAUCCUAAUUAAAUGCAACAAUGGAAUAUUGAA